RNAcentral lists this unclassified non-coding RNA (401 nucleotides) under Hevea brasiliensis (rubber tree). Lineage: Eukaryota; Viridiplantae; Streptophyta; Magnoliopsida; Malpighiales; Euphorbiaceae. The record is from RNAcentral.
GAGAAUAUGGUAAUGCUACUAUUGCUUAUGUCGAUUAGAGAUCAAUAACUGCAUAUUUGCAAUAGUGAAAUCUAAUAUCAUAUAUAUUCAGCAGUACAUUCUCCCUAUGCAAAGGUGUAGUGAUGGGAUUCUCCAUGACCUGUGUAGUUUGCUUGGGAGGCACUGAAAAAAAAGCUACAAUCAUAGGCUUAACCUUCUCUGUAGUCUUGAUAAUACCCAAGAAUAGAAGCCUGUAAAGAAUAACCAUUCCUAAUAAAACGGCAAGAUCAACCCACUUAGAGUAACUCAAAUCCACUUGCCAUAUAUUCCUCAAAAUUUCUUCACCACCAAUGGUUGGUGAACCUUCCAGGCGUCCAGCUUGAUUAUUAGUAGCAAAGGUUAGACCUUCAAAUUCAUUUUUG